CAAGUCGAGGGGCAGCACAGAUAGCAAUAUUGGGUGGCGACCGGCAAACGGGUGCGGAACACGUACACAACCUUCCUUUAAGCGGGGAAUAGCCCAGAGAAAUUUGGAUUAAUACCCCAUAGUAUAUUGGACCGGCAUCGGUUUGGUAUUAAAGAUUUAUCACUUNAAGAUGGGUGUGCGUUCGAUUAGGUAGUUGGCGGGGUAACGGCCCACCAAGCCUUCGAUCGAUAGCUGAUGUGAGAGCAUGAUCAGCCACACGGGCACUGAGACACGGGCCCGACUCCUACGGGAGGCAGCAGUAAGGAAUAUUGGUCAAUGGACGAAAGUCUGAACCAGCCAUGCCGCGUGGAGGAUGAAGGUCCUCUGGAUUGUAAACUUCUUUUAUCUGGGACGAAACAUGGAUUUUCUAAUUCACUUGACGGUACCAGAUGAAUAAGCACCGGCUAACUCCGUGCCAGCAGCCGCGGUAAUACGGAGGGUGCAAGCGUUAUCCGGAUUCACUGGGUUUAAAGGGUGCGUAGGCGGGCUUGUAAGUCAGUGGUGAAAUCUCAGAGCUUAACUCUGAAACUGCCAUUGAUACUAUAGGUCUUGAAUUUUCUGGAGGUUAGCGGAAUAUGUCAUGUAGCGGUGAAAUGCUUAGAUAUGACAUAGAACACCGAUUGCGAAGGCAGCUGACUACGGAUGAAUUGACGCUGAUGCACG
This 702-nucleotide ribosomal RNA is filed under the name uncultured Flavobacteriia bacterium. RNAcentral's name for it is "bacterial SSU rRNA". It matches the Rfam family "Bacterial small subunit ribosomal RNA", at positions 58 to 755 of the family's 1533-position model. Lineage: Bacteria; Pseudomonadati; Bacteroidota; Flavobacteriia. The record is from RNAcentral.